Molecule: non-coding RNA, 71 nt
Organism: Phrynosoma platyrhinos (Desert horned lizard)
Lineage: Eukaryota; Metazoa; Chordata; Lepidosauria; Squamata; Phrynosomatidae
Source: the annotation of a GenBank genome assembly
UAUUUUUGGUAUAGUGGUUUGAGCACUGGACUAUGACUCUGGAGACUAGGGUUCAAUUCCCUGAGUCACAC